UACGUAGGGUGCGAGCGUUAAUCGGAAUUACUGGGCGUAAAGCGUGCGCAGGCGGUUUUGUAAGUCUGUCGUGAAAUCCCCGGGCUCAACCUGGGAAUUGCGAUGGAGACUGCAAGGCUAGAAUCUGGCAGAGGGGGGUAGAAUUCCACGUGUAGCAGUGAAAUGCGUAGAGAUGCGGAGGAACACCGAUGGCGAAGGCAGCCCCCUGGGCUAAGACUGACGCUGAGGCACGAAAGCGUGGGGAGCAAACAGG
RNAcentral lists this ribosomal RNA (253 nucleotides) under uncultured bacterium. RNAcentral's name for it is "partial 16S ribosomal RNA". It matches the Rfam family "Bacterial small subunit ribosomal RNA", at positions 524 to 776 of the family's 1533-position model. The record is from RNAcentral.